RNAcentral lists this ribosomal RNA (773 nucleotides) under uncultured bacterium. RNAcentral's name for it is "bacterial SSU rRNA". It matches the Rfam family "Bacterial small subunit ribosomal RNA", at positions 8 to 798 of the family's 1533-position model. The record is from RNAcentral.
AGAGUUUGAUCAUGGCUCAGGACGAACGCUGGCGGCGUGCUUAACACAUGCAAGUCGAACGGAAAGGCCCUUCGGGGUACUCGAGUGGCGAACGGGUGAGUAACACGUGGGUGAUCUGCCCUGCACUUUGGGAUAAGCCUGGGAAACUGGGUCUAAUACCGAAUAGGACCGCGCGCUUCAUGGUGUGUGGUGGAAAGCUUUUGCGGUGUGGGAUGGGCCCGCGGCCUAUCAGCUUGUUGGUGGGGUAAUGGCCUACCAAGGCGACGACGGGUAGCCGGCCUGAGAGGGUGACCGGCCACACUGGGACUGAGAUACGGCCCAGACUCCUACGGGAGGCAGCAGUGGGGAAUAUUGCACAAUGGGCGCAAGCCUGAUGCAGCGACGCCGCGUGAGGGAUGACGGCCUUCGGGUUGUAAACCUCUUUCAAUAGGGACGAAGCGCAAGUGACGGUACCUAUAGAAGAAGCACCGGCCAACUACGUGCCAGCAGCCGCGGUAAUACGUAGGGUGCGAGCGUUGUCCGGAAUUACUGGGCGUAAAGAGCUCGUAGGUGGUUUGUCGCGUUGUUCGUGAAAACUCACAGCUUAACUGUGGGCGUGCGGGCGAUACGGGCAGACUAGAGUACUGCAGGGGAGACUGGAAUUCCUGGUGUAGCGGUGGAAUGCGCAGAUAUCAGGAGGAACACCGGUGGCGAAGGCGGGUCUCUGGGCAGUAACUGACGCUGAGGAGCGAAAGCGUGGGGAGCGAACAGGAUUAGAUACCCCGGUAGUCCAA